This 1531-nucleotide non-coding RNA is filed under the name Bacillus thermotolerans. RNAcentral describes it as "Quasibacillus thermotolerans Bacterial large subunit ribosomal RNA". It matches the Rfam family "Bacterial large subunit ribosomal RNA", at positions 1398 to 2925 of the family's 2925-position model. Lineage: Bacteria; Bacillati; Bacillota; Bacilli; Caryophanales; Bacillaceae. The record is from Rfam by way of RNAcentral.
GAGGCCGAAAGGCGUAGGCGAUGGAUAACAGGUUGAUAUUCCUGUACCACCUCACUCCGUUUGAGCGAUGGGGGGACGCAGGAGGAUAGGGCAAGCGCACAGCUGGUUGUGCGUCCAAGCAGUUAGGCCGGUGACGAGGCAAAUCCCGUCACCAUUAAGGCGGAGCUGUGACGGCGAGGGAAAGAUAGUACCGAAGUUCCUGAUUCCACACUGCCAAGAAAAGCCUCUAGCGAGGAGACAGGUGCCCGUACCGCAAACCGACACAGGUAGGCGAGGAGAGAAUCCUAAGGUGAGCGAGUGAACUCUCGUUAAGGAACUCGGCAAAAUGACCCCGUAACUUCGGGAGAAGGGGUGCUCUUUGGGGUGCAUAGCCCUGAGGAGCCGCAGUGAAUAGGCCCAGGCGACUGUUUAGCAAAAACACAGGUCUCUGCGAAGCCGCAAGGCGAAGUAUAGGGGCUGACGCCUGCCCGGUGCUGGAAGGUUAAGAGGAGGGGUUAGCUUACGCGAAGCUCUGAAUUGAAGCCCCAGUAAACGGCGGCCGUAACUAUAACGGUCCUAAGGUAGCGAAAUUCCUUGUCGGGUAAGUUCCGACCCGCACGAAAGGCGUAACGAUCUGGGCACUGUCUCAACGAGAGACUCGGUGAAAUUAUAGUACCUGUGAAGAUGCAGGUUACCCGCGACAGGACGGAAAGACCCCGUGGAGCUUUACUGCAGCCUGAUAUUGAAUUUCGGCACAGCUUGUACAGGAUAGGUAGGAGCCUUUGAAACCGGAGCGCCAGCUUCGGUGGAGGCGUCGGUGGGAUACUACCCUGGCUGUGUUGAACUUCUAACCCGCACCCGUGAUCCGGGUGGGAGACAGUGUCAGGCAGGCAGUUUGACUGGGGCGGUCGCCUCCUAAAGAGUAACGGAGGCGCCCAAAGGUUCCCUCAGAAUGGUUGGAAAUCAUUCGCAGAGUGUAAAGGCACAAGGGAGCUUGACUGCGAGACCUACAAGUCGAGCAGGGACGAAAGUCGGGCUUAGUGAUCCGGUGGUUCCGCAUGGAAGGGCCAUCGCUCAACGGAUAAAAGCUACCCCGGGGAUAACAGGCUUAUCUCCCCCAAGAGUCCACAUCGACGGGGAGGUUUGGCACCUCGAUGUCGGCUCAUCGCAUCCUGGGGCUGUAGUCGGUCCCAAGGGUUGGGCUGUUCGCCCAUUAAAGCGGUACGCGAGCUGGGUUCAGAACGUCGUGAGACAGUUCGGUCCCUAUCCGUCGCGGGCGCAGGAAAUUUGAGAGGAGCUGUCCUUAGUACGAGAGGACCGGGAUGGACGCACCGCUGGUGUACCAGUUGUCUUGCCAAAGGCAUCGCUGGGUAGCUAUGUGCGGACGGGAUAAGUGCUGAAAGCAUCUAAGCAUGAAGCCCCCCUCAAGAUGAGAUUUCCCAUAGCGUCAAGCUAGUAAGAUCCCUGAAAGAUGAUCAGGUAGAUAGGUUCGAGGUGGAAGCGUGGCGACACGUGGAGCUGACGAAUACUAAUCGAUCGAGGACUUAUCCUA